GAUGAACGCUGGCGGCGUGCCUAAUACAUGCAAGUCGAGCGAACAGAUAAGGAGCUUGCUCCUUUGACGUUAGCGGCGGACGGGUGAGUAACACGUGGGUAACCUACCUAUAAGACUGGGAUCACUUCGGGAAACCGGAGCUAAUACCGGAUAACAUUUGGAACCGCAUGGUUCUAAAGAGAAAGAUGGUUUUGCUAUCACUUAUAGAUGGACCCGCGCCGUAUUAGCUAGUUGGUAAGGUAACGGCUUACCAAGGCGACGAUACGUAGCCGACCUGAGAGGGGGAUAGGCCACACUGGAACUGAGACGCGGUCAAGAGUCCUACGGGAGGCAGCAGAAGGGAACCUUCCGCAAUGGGCGAAAGCCUGACGGAGCAACGCCGCGUGAGUGAUGAAGGGUUUCGGCUCGUAAAACUCGGUUAUUAGGGAAGAACAAACGUGGAAGUAACUGUGCACGUCUUGACGGUACCUAAUCAGAAAGCCACGGCUAACUACGUG
RNAcentral lists this ribosomal RNA (497 nucleotides) under uncultured bacterium. Its description in RNAcentral is "partial 16S ribosomal RNA". It matches the Rfam family "Bacterial small subunit ribosomal RNA", at positions 28 to 507 of the family's 1533-position model. The record is from RNAcentral.